Molecule: small nucleolar RNA, 106 nt
Organism: Malania oleifera
Lineage: Eukaryota; Viridiplantae; Streptophyta; Magnoliopsida; Santalales; Ximeniaceae
Source: RefSeq, a predicted model, not a curated record
AAUUGAUGAUGUGGACAUUUAUGAAGUAGGUCCCUAAAAAGCUCCUAGGUCUCAAUGAAACAUUUCCUAUCCAUCUGUGUGAAACUUGUGAUUGCCCUUCAUAGAU